AUCUGCUGGGGACCACGGGCUGGCGGGCUUGGGAGGCAGGCCCGCAGCCGGCUGCCACUCGGCGCCCUGGGGCUCCUCAGAGCCACCCGCGAGCCUGCGCGCUGAACUCGCUGGGUCCGGAUCCGAGUUCAGCAACCUCCCGGGAACCCCACUUUCUCCCGCUCUUCUAUCAGCUGAGAUAAGGCCCAGAAUGACACUGUCUUGGCACAGGAGCUCCAGCUGCUGGGGACCACGGGCUGGCGGGCUUGGGAGGCAGGCCCGCAGCCGGCUGCCACUCGGCGCCCUGGGGCUCCUCAGAGCCACCCGCGAGCCUGCGCGCUGAACUCGCUGGGUCCGGAUCCGAGUUCAGCAACCUCCCGGGAACCCCACUUUCUCCCGCUCUUCUAUCAGCUGAGAUAAGGCCCAGAAUGACACUGUCUUGGCACAGGAGCUCCAGUAAAGCACCUACAUAUUUGCACUGACAGCUACAUCCUUUCUCUCAAGUCUUGGCUUACACACAUAAAGGUAGAGAAAAAAAACCCAAAUCAAAAACCCUCCAUACAGCUAUUUAAACCUGACCUGAGAGCACACGACACGGACAGCUCUAAUCAGCGAACAACGUAGGUCCUAACAGUCUAACGGAGUGCAGAUUAAAGAAAGCUAUUGUCUGCCGUUCGCAUCCUCAGUAUGUUUUCUUAAGCCCCACCUGCAGUUGCUACCACUCUCUAUGCUCUCAGAACCACAUUGUGUAAGAAGAAAAUCAUUUCCUGCAAGCUGUCUUCUGACCCGCAAACAUACUGCCUGUUCCACAGAUCACAAAUAAGUAGGUAAGUAAAUAUAGAUAUACAUGUUUUUGUUUUUAAUAUGAGAAAAUCCCAUAAUCUAUUUUUCCUCCUAGACAGGGUUUCUCUGUAUAGCCUUGGCUGUCCUGGAACUCACUCUGCAGACCAGGCUGGCCUUGAACUUACAGAGAUUCACCUGCCUCCGGAGUGCUGAGAUUAAAGGUGUGGCCAUCACUGCCUGGCUAAAAUUCCAUACUUUAUUUACCCAUUUUACUACUGAUGGGUACACAUGCUUUUUUCAGUCUGAAGAUACUACAUUGAGUUGUUGUUUACGGUCUUGGAUAAUAAAAACUUCCGUUUUGUUUAAGUAAUACUGAAAGUGCCAAGCUGGAAUUACUGGCUCACAGUGUAGGCCUAUGCUUAACCUGAAAGGAACUGCACACUUUCUAAGGUGCCUGUGCUCUUAUUUAUUCCCAACAAUUCAUGACUCUUCUCACUGCCCACACAGCCAAAUGGAACAAAUGCCAUGAAGUUUGAGUUUGAUUUACUUGAGAAAGAGACAAGUACCAGGAUGCGCCUUCGCCCACUAUGGAAGAGUCACAUGAAAAGGCUGAACCACGAGUGCUUUGCACACUAGCACUAAUACAAAUACAGUGAUGUGAUGACACUGACUAGAAAGAGAAGAACUAUAGCUUCUUAUCUUUGUAAUUUAAUAUAAACAUUCUAUUACUAAUUGCUAUACUGUUCAGAGAAUAAUGAUUGGGGAAUAGGUUUACUAGAGAUGCAAUUUAAAAAUUAGAUUUGUGGCUUUGCUUUGUUGGGCCAAACUUGCCAGAUUUUUUUGUUUUGUUUUGUUUUGUUUUGCUUUGUUUUUCCAGUUUGCUCUCUUGCUCACUUCCCUUUCUAUCCGUGUAGGGCUCCAGACUACCUUGGGGGAAUCAGAGAGGAGGUCAGAGCCAAAGUCUUUUCGAUAAAGCACUGGGACGACACAGCAGCCUAUUUGGACAGACUGACUGCCGUCCUUCCCAAGCAGAGGAUCCUCCCGCACGGGAAGAUGGCCCUUCUUCCUUCCUCCCUCCCUUCCCUCUCUCCCUCUUGACCAUUUUCCCUCUUCCACUGUACACUCAAUAAAAUAAAGUAAAUAAAUGAAAUCUCAAGUUAUUUAUUUGUUUGAGCUACCUAAAUUCUCUCUUAACAUCUGCACCUCCCCUCCAAAAACUUUUUUUGUUUUGUUUUGUUUUUGCUUCUCUUGGCUACUCUAGAGCGAGCUCUGUAGAUCACUCCAGCCUGCAGCUCACAGAGACACACCGACCUGCUCUGCCUUCCUCCUGAUGCUGGGACUAAUGCACUACCACUGCCUAGCUUGAAAAAUAGAUUUUUAAAAAUCGAUUUUAUCGGGGUUGGGGAUUUAGCUCAGUGGUAGAG
RNAcentral lists this small RNA (2186 nucleotides) under Rattus norvegicus (Norway rat). RNAcentral's name for it is "uncharacterized LOC102546819". The record is from RNAcentral. Lineage: Eukaryota; Metazoa; Chordata; Mammalia; Rodentia; Muridae.